GAGGAGAGCGGUUCUGAAGACGAUCACCUGACCUGUAAACAGCUGCUACAAACAAAGAAGUGAUAUUAAAAUAAAAUCAACAAAUAAAACCAGGUGGAGCUAAAAGAAGUGCUGCAGCCCCCCACCCCUCUACCACUUCUAAAAGAAUAUAGAUCAUGAAACUGAGAACCGCAGGUCUCAGAUAUAAAGUCAGUGUUGUCGUGUAAAAUAAGGUCGUUAAUUAAAAGUCUAGUUUAAAAGGAAGCGUACAUUUAAAAGUGUUCAGAUAUCUUCUUGAUGUUUGUGGUCGAUGAGCAGGAGGACGGUCUGUUUUUUCACCUGUUUGAGGUUGUUAGGAUCAGGUCAGGAGUUUACGGUGUGUCGUCUGGUGAUCGCAGGAAUGGGGGGUCUGUGGGUGGAGGAAGGUGGUGCUGUGGGUGAGGGACACAGACUACAGGACGGUUGUUAGGGGUGAAAUGUAAAACAGUUCCCGGACAGUGUGGGACGGAUCCUGGCUCCUCAUGAAGUUAG
Molecule: non-coding RNA, 510 nt
Organism: Xyrichtys novacula (pearly razorfish)
Lineage: Eukaryota; Metazoa; Chordata; Actinopteri; Labriformes; Labridae
Source: the annotation of a GenBank genome assembly